GGAGUGGUAGUUCAGUUGGUUAGAAUGCCUGCCUGUCACGCAGGAGGUCGCGGGUUCGAAUCCCGUCCAUUCCGCUA
This 77-nucleotide transfer RNA is filed under the name Mucilaginibacter gilvus. RNAcentral's name for it is "Mucilaginibacter sp. F01003 tRNA-Asp". It matches the Rfam family "tRNA". From Rfam's summary of the family: Transfer RNA (tRNA) molecules are approximately 80 nucleotides in length. Their secondary structure includes four short double-helical elements and three loops (D, anti-codon, and T loops). Lineage: Bacteria; Pseudomonadati; Bacteroidota; Sphingobacteriia; Sphingobacteriales; Sphingobacteriaceae. The record is from RNAcentral.